CAGUAGCCACGGGAAUACAGAGGGUGCGAGCGUUAAUCGGAUUUACUGGGCGUAAAGCGUGCGUAGGCGGCUUUUUAAGUCGGAUGUGAAAUCCCUGAGCUUAACUUAGGAAUUGCAUUCGAUACUGGGAAGCUAGAGUAUGGGAGAGGAUGGUAGAAUUCCAGGUGUAGCGGUGAAAUGCGUAGAGAUCUGGAGGAAUACCAAUGGCGAAGGCAGCCAUCUGGCCUAAUACUGACGCUGAGGUACGAAAGCAUGGGGAGCAAACAGGAUUAGAUACCCCUGUAGUCCCUGUCUCUUAUAC
RNAcentral lists this ribosomal RNA (301 nucleotides) under uncultured bacterium. Its description in RNAcentral is "partial 16S ribosomal RNA". It matches the Rfam family "Bacterial small subunit ribosomal RNA", at positions 509 to 807 of the family's 1533-position model. The record is from RNAcentral.